UGAAGCCCAGAAAUCGGGAUUUUAAAAAGAUUCCCAGGUGAUUCUAAUGUGCAGCCAAGGUUGAGAACCACUGCUCUUGGCCAUCCCGGUGGUGGGACUGGCCUUCAUGCUCGGCUACUAGCACCACACUGUCUUGCAGCCCCUUCAGUGACUCUCAUGCCACAGUCUGCACGGUGGUAGGGGAUGUCAGUGAGGCAAUGGUGGGGCUGUUGGGACGCUGCCACAUGGGGGCUGCCCACAAUGGGGUGGGUCUCUAGGUCCCAGGGGCUACUUUCUGUAGCGUGAGGGUCCUAUUCUGGCCCCCAGCAAUUGCACUGUAAAGGGAGUGGCACUCGGUGAUGGUGCAGGCUGUCUGGCAGGCCCUUUUGUAGAAUCUGGCUGCCCUGGGGCUGCCACCCACCACCACUAAGUACACCAUCACUUGGAACAUCAGGGUUGGCUCCCUGGGUGGCCCAGGCUGGAGGUAUGUUGUUCCAGGAGCACAGAGGGUAAUUGUAUGUGGAGGCUAUAUACCCACUGCUCCCAUUGUUGAAACCCUUUGCAGGUGAGCUAGCAUCCUAGGUGCAGUAAGGGUUUCAUCAACAAGGUGGGCGGGGCAGGCGUUCUUGUUGCUCAGGAGCCACUAGCACAUCCUUUGGAAACAAAAUGACACAGGUGUGACCUUCCCACCCACACUCACUGCUAUUGCUGCCUGCUUCACCUGUAAUUGCAUAGAAGGGUCAGGAAGAAGGCCUCCAGGAUGGGUGACUACUAGAUUGGAGAGGAGGAGCUGGGGCCAGGGGCCCCAGAAUGAGGAAGGGAGCUCCCUUAGACUCAACCAUGUAAGGCAUAGAAAGCAUUAUGGCAAGAAACUCACCGCUUUUAAUCCUGGCAGGAAGGACAAGGAAAACCAAAGACAAAGAUUUAAGUAGGCUUUACUAUUCUCCCAUUGGGGGAGGGAGAGGGGGAAUGUCAUAUUUAAUAAACACCUCCCUUCGGUUCUCCCA
Long non-coding RNA from Myotis lucifugus (little brown bat), 986 nucleotides. RefSeq lists it as uncharacterized. The transcript is spliced from 2 exons. NCBI's taxonomy places the organism in Eukaryota, Metazoa, Chordata, Mammalia, Chiroptera, Vespertilionidae. The record is from RefSeq and is a predicted model, not a curated record.